CGCGUAGGCGGUCUGAUAAGUCAGUUGUGAAAGCCCGGGGCUCAACCCCGGAAGUGCAAUUGAAACUGUCAGGCUUGAGUAUGGUAGAGGGAAGUGGAAUUCCUGGUGUAGCGGUGAAAUGCGUAGAUAUCAGGAGGAACACCGGUGGCGAAGGCGACUUCCUGGACCAAUACUGACGCUGAGGCGCGAAGGUGUGGGGAGCAAACAGGAUUAGAUACCCUGGUAGUCC
Molecule: ribosomal RNA, 229 nt
Filed under: uncultured bacterium
Lineage: Bacteria
Description: partial 16S ribosomal RNA
Rfam family: Bacterial small subunit ribosomal RNA
Source: RNAcentral